GAAAUGCGAUAAGUAAUGUGAAUUGCAGAAUUCAGUGAAUCAUCGAAUCUUUGAACGCACAUUGCGCCCAUUAGUAUUCUAGUGGGCAUGCCUAUUCGAGCGUCAUUUCAACCCUUAAGCUUAGCUUAAUGUUGGGAUUUUACAUGUAUGUAACUCCCUAAAGUCAGUGGCAGAGCUAGUUCAUCUCUCAGCGUAGUAAUUUUAUCUCGCUUUUGAUGGUGGUCUUUCUCUCGCCAGAAGCCUAUUUACUUCUAAUGGUUGACCUCGGAUUAGGUAGGAAUACCCGCUGAACUUAA
Molecule: unclassified non-coding RNA, 296 nt
Filed under: uncultured Xylariales
Lineage: Eukaryota; Fungi; Ascomycota; Sordariomycetes; Xylariales
Description: sequence contains ITS1
Rfam family: 5.8S ribosomal RNA (bases 1-105)
Source: RNAcentral